GAUCCUGGCUCAGGAUGAACGCUGGCGGCGUGCUUAACACAUGCAAGUCGAGCGAAGCAAUUUAAGUGAAGUUUUCGGUAUGGAUCUUAGAUUGACUGAGCGGCGGACGGGUGAGUAACGCGUGGAUAACCUGCCUCACACAGGGGGAGUAACAGUUAGAAAUGACUGCUAAUACCGCAUAAGCGCACAGUACCGCAUGGUAUAGUGUGAAAAACUCCGGUGGU
Molecule: ribosomal RNA, 224 nt
Filed under: uncultured bacterium
Lineage: Bacteria
Description: partial 16S ribosomal RNA
Rfam family: Bacterial small subunit ribosomal RNA
Source: RNAcentral